UGGGGAAUAUUGGACAAUGGGCGCAAGCCUGAUCCAGCAAUGCCGCGUGAGUGAUGAAGGUCUUAGGGUUGUAAAGCUCUUUUACCCGGGAAGAUAAUGACUGUACCGGGAGAAUAAGCCCCGGCUAACUCCGUG
Molecule: ribosomal RNA, 135 nt
Filed under: uncultured Sphingomonas sp.
Lineage: Bacteria; Pseudomonadati; Pseudomonadota; Alphaproteobacteria; Sphingomonadales; Sphingomonadaceae
Description: partial 16S ribosomal RNA
Rfam family: Bacterial small subunit ribosomal RNA
Source: RNAcentral